RNAcentral lists this ribosomal RNA (253 nucleotides) under uncultured bacterium. RNAcentral's name for it is "partial 16S ribosomal RNA". It matches the Rfam family "Bacterial small subunit ribosomal RNA", at positions 524 to 776 of the family's 1533-position model. The record is from RNAcentral.
UACGUAGGGGGCUAGCGUUGUCCGGAAUCAUUGGGCGUAAAGCGCGUGUAGGCGGCCCGGUAAGUCCGCUGUGAAAGUCGGGGGCUCAACCCUCGGAUGCCGGUGGAUACUGUCGGGCUAGAGUACGGAAGAGGUGAGUGGAAUUCCCGGUGUAGCGGUGAAAUGCGCAGAUAUCGGGAGGAACACCAAUGGCGAAGGCAGCUCGCUGGGACGUUACUGACGCUGAGACGCGAAAGCGUGGGGAGCAAACAGG